This 76-nucleotide transfer RNA is filed under the name Chloroflexota bacterium. Its description in RNAcentral is "tRNA-Met". It matches the Rfam family "tRNA". Rfam says of the family: Transfer RNA (tRNA) molecules are approximately 80 nucleotides in length. The record is from RNAcentral. Lineage: Bacteria; Bacillati; Chloroflexota.
GGCGACGUAGCUCAGCGGUUAGAGCGGGCGCUUCAUAAGCGCUAGGUCGGAGGUUCAAGUCCUCCCGUCGCCACCA